This 521-nucleotide ribosomal RNA is filed under the name uncultured Bacteroidota bacterium. Its description in RNAcentral is "bacterial SSU rRNA". It matches the Rfam family "Bacterial small subunit ribosomal RNA", at positions 889 to 1410 of the family's 1533-position model. Lineage: Bacteria; Pseudomonadati; Bacteroidota. The record is from RNAcentral.
CAACGGUGAAACUCAAAGGAAUUGACGGGGGCCCGCACAAGCGGAGGAACAUGUGGUUUAAUUCGAUGAUACGCGAGGAACCUUACCCGGGCUCAAACGUCGGAGGACGUGCGGAGAAAUCCGCAUUUCCCUCGGGACUUCCGACGAGGUGCUGCAUGGUUGUCGUCAGCUCGUGCCGUGAGGUGUCGGCUUAAGUGCCAUAACGAGCGCAACCCCCAUCUACAGUUGCUAACAGGUGAAGCUGAGGACUCUGUGGAGACUGCCGGCGCAAGCUGAGAGGAAGGCGGGGAUGACGUCAAAUCAGCACGGCCCUUACGUCCGGGGCGACACACGUGUUACAAUGGCAGGUACAGAGGGGUGCUACCGGGUGACCGGAUGCCGAUCUCGAAAACCUGUCCCAGUUCGGACUGGAGUCUGCAACCCGACUCCACGAAGUUGGAUUCGCUAGUAAUCGCGCAUCAGCCAUGGCGCGGUGAAUACGUUCCCGGGCCUUGUACACACCGCCCGUCAAGCCAUGGAAG